RNAcentral lists this ribosomal RNA (470 nucleotides) under uncultured bacterium. RNAcentral describes it as "bacterial SSU rRNA". It matches the Rfam family "Bacterial small subunit ribosomal RNA", at positions 28 to 507 of the family's 1533-position model. The record is from RNAcentral.
GAUGAACGCUGGCGGCGUGCUUAACACAUGCAAGUCGAACGAAGAUGCCGGAGUGCUUGCACUUUGGCAGACUGAGUGGCGGACGGGUGAGUAACGCGUGGGUAACCUGCCUUAUACAGGGGGAUAACAGUUGGAAACGACUGCUAAUACCGCAUAAGCGCACGGUAUCGCAUGAUACAGUGUGAAAAACUCCGGUGGUAUAAGAUGGACCCGCGUCUGAUUAGCUUGUUGGUGAGGUAACGGCCCACCAAGGCGACGAUCAGUAGCCGGCCUGAGAGGGUGAACGGCCACAUUGGGACUGAGACACGGCCCAAAACUCCUACGGGAGGCAGCAGUGGGGAAUAUUGCACAAUGGGGGAAACCCUGAUGCAGCGACGCCGCGUGAGUGAUGAAGUAUUUCGGUAUGUAAAACUCUAUCAGCAGGGAAGAUAAUGACGGUACCUGACUAAGAAGCACCGGCUAAAUACGUG